CGACCCCAGGUCGGGCGGGACCACCCGCUGAGUUUAAGCAUAUCAAUAAGCGGAG
This 55-nucleotide unclassified non-coding RNA is filed under the name Casearia aculeata. RNAcentral's name for it is "ITS2". Lineage: Eukaryota; Viridiplantae; Streptophyta; Magnoliopsida; Malpighiales; Salicaceae. The record is from RNAcentral.